UGCUGCCAUGGGCGCGCGGACCUGUCCCUCAGCGCGGGGCGUGGAGGGGCGGUGGCAGCACGGGCGCGGUUGCGGCGGAGCCCGGAGGCGGCGCUGACAGGACAGCGCGCGGAGGCGCUGCGGGCCGCGGCUGCCGCCCCCGGCCCGGAGCAGCCCGGCCGCGCUGAGCCCGGCCCGGCCCGGAGCAGCCCGGCCGCGCUGAGCCCGGCCCGGCCCGGAGCAGCCCGGCCGCGCUGAGCCCGGCCCGGCCCGGCCCGGCCCGAGGAAGAAGCAGAAGUUUUAACCAUCUUCCCAUGGCAUCUGACUUUUUUGAAGAGGAGGACUUUUCACCCACUUGAUGGAAGGGAAAUAAGUUUGUUUCAAGACUCUUAUGUUGUUCAUCAGUGCUGUUAACAAACGUGGGGCUUGAGGAUGCAUUUGCUGCUUCUCUGCAUUUUUGCUGAAGGAAGGACCUUGCUGUCUCCCAGCUCCUGUGGGCAUUAGGUUUCAUGGAUGUCUCUUGGGAAGAGGACAGCUCUGUAGAGCCUAAGUUUCAAAAGUAAUUUUAAAGAGAGAAGCAGUGAGAUGCACAGUGGGGAAAAGGACCCCAGGAAUCCUAUCCUGUACCUGCCUGAAUAUGGGAAGAGACUUAGUACAAUGCCAGAAUGCAGCUGGGCUUGCAGUAUUUUUAACCAUAUUAAGUCCUGUUCAGAGUUAAUGAUGAGCUCAGUGAGAUGGUCUCAGCAGUGCUGAAGGAGGGAAGGACAGAACUGGAAGGCAGGAGCUACUUCAAAGCAGGAUUUUUCAUAUUUCUGUAAUGCCCAAACACGAAGACUUUAUAAACUUCAUUAGAUCCUGCCAUCAAUGACUGAGCCUCCCUGAAAUCUUAUGAGUUACUGCCAAGAUGAGAGGGAUAACAGGAAGGAGGAGUGCUUAAGUGACUUUAAUGACAGUUAAUUUCUUCUAUUUAUCAAACGACAGAUUGUUUUUUCCUCAAAACUCAAUUGCCAUGACAAGAUGCUUUUGGAAGUCAUCUUUGUAAAAUAAAACUGACAAUUUUUAGGCUACAAAGAGCUAUUGUAUAUUUUUGUUGAAUGUUGUCAUUAUGGUAAACUGCUGGAAGGUCUUUAUUUUGGAAGUAAUUUAACUUGCAUACUUCAUUCAUUUAUUUUAAUAUCUGUUGAAUGCCAUGUGAAAAGUUUCUUGCCAGAAUUUUUUUAUUCAAUGGAAUAGUUAUUGUUACAAUGCUCAAUUUAUUAAUGUCUAAAUUACUGUUGCCCUAGCCUCCUGCAAAACUGUUUCUUAUUAGUAAUUCUUAAACAAAUAAGGAAUGAAUUAGGUUUUGUCCCCUUUGUGUUUUGGUCUGCAUAUUUUCCCUUUCAGUGAAGGUGUCUUCAGUUUUUGGAAUGACACAACACAAAGAAAGGUGGUUUGGUUUUUGGAGUUUUUUUUCCCCAACAGCACAUGUCUUUUGUGCAAUGGUUUUUUAAUAUGGACACUGCCAAGAUACAAUUACUGGAAGGAGAGAGAGAAGCUGUUGGGAAUGUCAUGUUAUGCCAAAUUAAGAAUUAUUAGCUCUUACUUUCUGUGCAAUCUCUUCGACUAGAACUCGACCUAUUGCGUCUGGCAUAUACUUUGACUCUAGUGGAACUAAUGUGUCCUUGGAGUAGCAUUUCAGAGUAACUUCAGAUUCAUGCUUUUUUCACAAGUCUGCUUUAAACUGCUGGGAUUAACUUCAGAGAAGGCGAGAGAUACAGGCUCCUUUGUCAGCAGCUGUGCUGGUUGAAGGAGGAGGCUUCCUGCACGCCUCUCGCUCCUUCUCUCCCUGCUAGGGAAGCAGGCUGAGCUGUUUCCCUGAGCACACGCAGACUGACUUCAGCCAGAGUUAAUCGUGCUAUCAAAUAUUAGUUAUCCAGUGCCCUGGGUCACUCUGAUGAAAGGACAGGGCAUGCACAGACCAGCUGUGCAGACGUCAUGUCUGGGAAGGGUGCUGUGUUGACAGGAGUGUUGCUGAGGGCUGGCCCUGGUGUGUCGCCUUUUCAGCAGGUGCAGUUACAUAUCUUGGAUGUGGUAAAAAUUGGACGUGUUAGAAAGCUGUGCAGAUCUGUCAUGCAUAAUAUUCACAUUCCAGGGACACCCUGGAUAAUGCAGAAUAAACCUGUGUUCUUUGACUCCUUGUGUGUGCCAGUAUGAGGGGAGAGAACCAGUGUGUGAGAGAACCACCUAUUUCAGGAAAAUGUAUCUGGUCAAGAUGUGGGAAUGGUACAAGUGUUUCCAUUUUCUAGAGAACACACUUGUUACUGUACUCAUCAAAGAGGCUGCCUCAGCCAACACAUGCCUCAGGAGAGCUGCUUUUGACACAUCAGCUGCCUUGAGUGGAGAAGGGAGAACACCUCCAGCAGGAGUGGCUGCUGUUGCUUCUCUACAGUGUUGAAUCAGUGCUGGAGUCUGGUGAGGCAUCCCAGCUCUUGCUAUAUCCCCUAUGCCAAAAUUAGAAUGGUAUGGAUAAUCUUUAGUACUCCCAUAGUGGGUAAAAGCAGUGCACUGAGCAGCUCCUUCCACACUGCCCCUUCUUGUGCAAAGGCCAUGGAGUGUAGGUGCCUUCCUAGAGCCAGCCUGGGCUUACAAAGAACAAGAGAACUGUCAGAAUCCUGAGAGCAGCAGCACUGUUUGCAUCUCCUCUCAGGGCACUGCCAGGUGAAAAGAACAGAGCCACAAAAAGAACUGAGCCUCCAGCUCAGGUUGUGUGUCAUCCAUUAUCUUUUAUUUGUCCUUAAGGUAAAGGAUGAGGAAUAUGCAUACUGGACGUAUGGAAGGGAGGAAAAUAAAGUGCCAGGUGUGUGAGGAAGAGGCAGGUGUGAGAGUUGUGCCCUGUUCCAGCAGCCCAGGGCUGAGCCAUGGCUGAGCUCUCAGUGCUGGGUUCAGGAGUGAUGUGCCUGCCCCAGAUGACUGUCACAUGUCCCCCCUGACCAGGAACUGUGAUGUGCCUGCCCCAGAUGACUGUCACAUGUCCCCCCUGACCAGGAGCUAAGUGCAGAUGACCUCCACAGCUCUCUGAGACAGCCCAUAAUCCAUAUGACUAUUUUUAUCUUAAAAUGGAUUCUUGUAGUAUCAAGAUUGAAAUGUUUAAGGAAAUGCUUGUGAUUGCUUGGGAGUCUCUUUACCUGCCUAAGUGGUAAUACACAGGUAAACCAGUGCUGCAGAAUAACAUCUUACAUAGAGCACUGUCAGGGAUGUCAAGCUGAUGAGGAAAAUUUUACAUCCAAGCACUUAAAACCAUCAAAUACUAUAGUUAAACUGCCAUACUCUUUAUGUAGUGCUAAAAAGACAACAAAACUUCAGGGAAGGCAGAUUUUCUUCUUAUAAAUAUUCUGAAUAAUAGCUUGGUUUCAAGUAGACUUCCUGGCUCUUUGGUGAUUGCUGAAUUUGGUCUGAAUCUAUCAGGAAUCCCAGUCAUAAUGGUGUGUUUAUUAUUAUAAGCACAUGACUUCUAUAUAAGUUCUCCACAAAUAUGUUGGACAAAACAUAGUUUACCUUCUUAACUGGUACUAUAUGGUUACUUUCUAUCUCCUUUAAUUUCAGUUCUAACUUGAUUGAAUAAAAGGUGCAUUCCUGACAGUAAUCUUUACAUCUGUAAUGGAACACUUGAUUUUAUAUGACUGUUUGCAUACUCCAGACAUAACACAACAUUUUUACAGCAAUAUGUGUUGACAAUACACUGAGAUAAAUAUCAGUUUAUGACAAACGAAGGAGCAAACUUUUAAUAAGGCCAAUGAAUCAUUAGAAAUUAUUAGAAAGGGAAUAUUAGAUUAGAUUUUCUAUCUCUUGAAUGAGGAUGAAAUAUUUUUAUAGAGGUAUAUGCUUGAACAAAUGGCUGGGGGUGGUAGAAGAAUUCCUCACUGGCUUCUGUGGCUUUUGCAACACCUGAGGCCAGACUGGGUCAUCUUAGACAUCCUUCUGGCUUGGAAGGGAGUGAGAAGUCUCAGUGUAGCAAAUAUCUUCAUAGAAAUGCAGCUUCCACUGAACUGAAAAGUUACCCAAAGUUAAUUAAGCUUAUCUUCAAAAAGUAUUGGGAGGAGCAUUGGGAAUGUUCCUCUUUCCUAGUGCCAUGCCUUUUUCAAAGAUCCUCUUAACCUGACUGCUUGCUCCUGUGGAGUGUUUCAUUGGCUGGGGUGGGUUUCUCUGGUUCAUCCAUCCUCGCCCCACCCACAUUAAUCAAACAGCACAUGAACAUCUGUUUUCAGAGCAAAUGUCUUCUGCAGAGUGUCUACUUCUACAAAGUGUAAUGCUGUCUUUCUGCUAGAAAUAAUUAUUAGGUUGAAAAUAAUCUGACAACAUCCUGCUGUGGAUAAAUUAGGUUUGUUCUCUACUAAGAUUAGUAAGCUGGCAUCCAUUCACUAAUACAUUACAAGAAAAUGAUUGCAAGUUGAUUGUAUCCAGUUAUCUGCCUUUUUUCUGUUUAAUAGGCUUUUUGUUGCCAUGCUGUCACCAAAUGUGUGCAAGUCAUACUUUUCCAAGUGCCCUGCAACCUGGGGAGAUGGUGUUUGCUGUCCUGUACCACGAAAAGACUUUUGGGCAGAAGUGUUUGGCGAAGUGGAGAGAUUGUCUCCAUAUAGAUUUCUGAAUCCUGUGCACCUUUGGUUUUGGCCAACAGGGGUGUGUUCUGCUCUAUGGCAAUCAAUAUAUUACCACCAAAGUCCAAAUGCCAGGUAUAAUUAGCUCAUGUGUUUAAAUAGGUGCUGUUAUUUUUCGGCUUGUAUGUACAAGCCUGUUUUCAUGCAGAAGUCCAUAUUUACUUGGGAAGAAUGCUGUGCAAAUCAGAAAAAGCAGAAAAAUUAUUUAAAGUUAUAUGCUAGUGUUUAAGAUUUUAGAAAUAACUGUGAGAUCUUGUAGGCACACAGUUUGUGGUGCCUGGGAGUGGGGCUGGCCCAGCCCCAUCCCCAGUGGGUGCAGCUGUGAGCAGCAGGUGAGCAGCACUGGCAGCAAUGAGCCAUGGAGUGCCCAGGGGCACUGACCAACCCCCAAAGGGAGCAGAGGCACACAGGGGCAGGGCAUCAACAUGAGGGGAUAAAAGGUUGGGCUAAAGAACAAGAAGGGCAGAUGCUUGUAGCCUUCUGAUGUGAUCUGGUGUUCCUCUGUAUGGGCAGACACCUGAAGCCUUCUGAUGUGCUAUGAAAGAAGGUGAAAAUGAGGUCUGGAGAAUGGAGAGAGGCUUUGUUUUUCAUUGCUGAAGUCUCCCUGCACUGUAAGUCUACUGAUGCCCGUGGUGCAUGGACCAUCUCCUGCCUGCUAAUUAGGCCUCUCCAGUGUGCUCUCUGGAAAUGUGCUGGAGAAGUUUUUUUCAAAAAACCACCAUGCCAUCAUAAAUAAGGGAACAGUACAGUAUGUAACUAUUAUACACCACUCAUUUGGCAGACUAUAAUUUAAUAGAACAACAAUGAUCAGACCAGUAUAUCAGUUAAUUUUCAAAACAUUUUAUUCCACGCAAAUUAGCUCAGGUCCUGGAGGGCAAAAUGACAAGAGGUUACUCGUACACUAUGUAUUUAAUUAAUUGAAAAAUGCUCAAACUGCUUUUACAGUUGUUAUUAAAAAGUAGAAUCAGUGUUGCCAGUGCUCAACCAUAAUUAGAACCCCGGGGAAUUAAAUAUUUAGCAUUAGUAAUGUAACAGCACUU
Molecule: long non-coding RNA, 5653 nt
Organism: Passer domesticus (house sparrow)
Lineage: Eukaryota; Metazoa; Chordata; Aves; Passeriformes; Passeridae
Exons: 8
Source: RefSeq, a predicted model, not a curated record